Molecule: ribosomal RNA, 330 nt
Filed under: uncultured eukaryote
Lineage: Eukaryota
Description: partial 18S ribosomal RNA
Rfam family: Eukaryotic small subunit ribosomal RNA
Source: RNAcentral
CCCUUAGAUGUUCUGGGCCGCACGCGUGCUACACUGAUGCAUUCAACGAGUCUAAAACCUGGUCUGAUAGGGCUGGGUAAUCUUUUGAAAGUGCAUCGUGAUUGGGAUAGAUGAUUGCAAUUCUUCAUCUUCAACGAGGAAUGCCUAGUAAACGCAAGUCAUCAGCUUGCAUUGAUUGCGUCCCUGCCCUUUGUACACACCGCCCGUCGCUCCUACCGAUUGAAUGAUCCGAUGAAUACCAUGGAUUGAGAGUACGAAUAGGUUCGCUUAUUUCUGCUGCUCGAGAAGUGGAGUAAAUCUUAUCAUUUAGAGGAAGGAGAAGUCGUAACA